RNAcentral lists this ribosomal RNA (379 nucleotides) under uncultured bacterium. Its description in RNAcentral is "bacterial SSU rRNA". It matches the Rfam family "Bacterial small subunit ribosomal RNA", at positions 521 to 896 of the family's 1533-position model. The record is from RNAcentral.
UAAUACGUAGGGAGCAAGCGUUGUCCGGAUUUAUUGGGCGUAAAGAGCUCGUAGGUGGUUCAGCAAGUCGGGUGUGAAAGCUCUGGGCUCAACCCAGAGAUGCCACCCGAUACUGCUGUGACUAGAGUCAGGUAGGGGAUCGCGGAAUUCCAGGUGUAGCGGUGAAAUGCACAGAUAUCUGGAGGAACACCAGCGGCGAAGGCGGCGAUCUGGGCCUGUACUGACACUGAGGAGCGAAAGCGUGGGGAGCGAACAGGAUUAGAUACCCUGGUAGUCCACGCUGUAAACGUUGGGCACUAGGUGUGGGGAGACGUCAACUCUCUCUGUGCCGUAGCUAACGCAUUAAGUGCCCCGCCUGGGGAGUACGGCCGCAAGGCUA